AGGGUUUGAUUAUGGCUCAGGAUGAACGCUAGCGGCAGGCCUAAUACAUGCAAGUCGAACGAGAUUUAUGACUUCGGUUAUAAUGACAGUGGCGCACGGGGGCGUAACGCGUAUAAUCUACCCUUUACUGGGGGAUAGCCCGGAGAAAUCCGGAUUAAUACCCCAUAGUAUCACAGAUUGGCAUCAUGAAGUGAUUAAAGAUUUAUUGGUAAAGGAUGGGCAUGCGUGACAUUAGCUAGUUGGUGAGGUAACGGCUCACCAAGGCCACGAUGUCUAGGGGUUCUGAGAGGAUGAUCCCCCACACUGGUACUGAGAUACGGACCAGACUCCUACGGGAGGCAGCAGUAGGGAAUAUUGGUCAAUGGACGAGAGUCUGAACCAGCUAUGCCGCGUGCAGGAAGACGGCCUUCUGGGUUGUAAACUGCUUUUAUACGGGAAGAAAAAAGCCUUGCGAGGCAAAUUGACGGUACCAUACGAAUAAGCACCGGCUAACUCCGUGCCAGCAGCCGCGGUAAUACGGAGGGUGCAAGCGUUGUCCGGAUUUAUUGGGUUUAAAGGGUGUGUAGGCGGAUUUUUAAGUCAGUGGUGUAAUCUCUCGGCUCGACCGAGAAACUGCCAUUGAUACUGGAAGUCUUGCGUUUAGAUGAAGUAGGCGGACUAUGUCAUGUAGCGGUGAAAUGCAUAGAUAUUACAUAGAACACCGAUAGCGAAGGCAGCUUACUAAUCUAUAACUGACGCUGAUGCACGAAAGCGUGGGUAGCGAACAGGAUUAGAUACCCUGGUAUUCCACGCCGUAAACGAUGUUCACUCGUUGUUGGCAAUACACCGUCAGCGACUAAGCGAAAGUGAUAAGGGAACCACCUGGGGAGUACGAUCGCAAGGUUGAAACUCACAGGAAUUGACGGGGGCCCGCACAAGCGGAGGAGCAUGUGGUUUAAUUCAAUGAUACGCGAGGAACCUUAACUGGGGGGCUUAAAUGUAGAUUGACAGUCAAAGAGAUUUGAUUUUCUUCGGACAAUUUACAAGGUGCUGCAUGGUUGUCGUCAGCUCGUGCCGUGAGGUGUCGGGUUAAGUCCCAUAACGAGCGCAACCCCUACCGUUAGUUGCCAUCAGGUCAAGCUGGGGACUCUAGCGGAACUGCCUGCGCAAGCAGAGAGGAAGGUGGGGAUGACGUCAAAUCAGCACGGCCCUUAUGUCCAGGGCUACACACGUGCUACAAUGGUCGGUACAGAGGGCAGCUACCUAGCAAUAGGAUGCAAAUCUCGAAAGCCGAUCUCAGUUCGGAUCGGAGUCUGCAACUCGACUCCGUGAAGUUGGAUUCGCUAGUAAUCGGAUAUCAGCAAUGAUCCGGUGAAUACGUUCCCGGGCCUUGUACACACCGCCCGUCAAGCCAUGGAAGCCGGGAGUACCUGAAGUUCGUGACCGUAAGGAGCGACCUAGGGUAAAACUGGUAACUGGGGCUAAGUCGUAACAAGGUAGCC
Molecule: ribosomal RNA, 1481 nt
Filed under: uncultured prokaryote
Description: partial 16S ribosomal RNA
Rfam family: Bacterial small subunit ribosomal RNA
Source: RNAcentral